AAGGUGUCCCCAAGAACUUCGGAGCUCAGAACAGGUGAUACUCACUCCUCCUUUGGGGAGAGGCCGUGGGCAUGGCUUCACUUUUCAGCUGGAUUAUAAAGGAUGUGAAGUUAGCCUGACUGAGCAGAAGGGGAGGGAAGACAGCACUCCAGGAAAGUGGAACGAACAACAGAGUCCAAAGGGCCCUCCAGCCUACCCACUCCCAAGUACCUGGAAGAAGCUCUCCACGUGUUCCCUUGGGGCCUCCUCCCGGAGUGCAGGGUCAUACAGGUUGAAGGCCCAAUUAAGCCUGUCAUCUACAGUUCCCCGAAGAAUCACGGACAAACCAGCCACAAAGUCCUGGGAAGGAGGCAGGAGGGAGCUGUGUCCUCGGGUACUCUUCACCCAACUCCUUCUCUGGGUUUGGCCUGGAGAUCCUGGCCCUGAACUCCAGGAAACAGGCUUCCCUGGCCCACCUCGCCCAGCUCACCUCAAAACUGACCGAGCCAUCAUGGUUGGUGUCAAAGGCAUUGAAGAGAAAAGUGGCAUAGGUGCUGGAGUCUGCAGGGUGAGUGUGGAGAAGUUGGCUUCCACACAGGAGAGGACUUCCUCCCUCUAAGGAGCUCCCCAUACCCCCCAUCACCUUGGCAUUCCCAGCUCCUCCAGAAUCCCUCCCUCCCUCAGCCUAGAGAAGGACAACUGCUUCCCCUUGGGCCUUGUCCCCUCACCUCCUUGAGGAAAGAACUGGGAGUAAAUCUGCUUGAAGUUCUCCUCAUUGACAAUUCCGCUGGGACAUUCCUGGAAGGAGAGGGCACCAGGCUGAGGGCAGAGACAAAAUCCCCUUCCGUUCACCGCCCCCACCCUCCAUGGCCCAAGACUCCCAGGGAGGGGGAUAAUCUUCAAGCCUCCAGAGGACUCACCACGUGGCUCAUGUGAUGGGAGGGAAGACUUCUUUCCCAGUGCACAAAUAAAAAACAUGGAACGAAACUGAAAAAAA
RNAcentral lists this long non-coding RNA (976 nucleotides) under Homo sapiens (human). RNAcentral's name for it is "KCNIP2 antisense RNA 1 (KCNIP2-AS1)". The record is from RNAcentral. Lineage: Eukaryota; Metazoa; Chordata; Mammalia; Primates; Hominidae.